This 186-nucleotide microRNA precursor is filed under the name Oryza nivara. RNAcentral's name for it is "MIR812 microRNA precursor family". It matches the Rfam family "MIR812 microRNA precursor family". The record is from Rfam by way of RNAcentral. Lineage: Eukaryota; Viridiplantae; Streptophyta; Magnoliopsida; Poales; Poaceae.
AUUAAGUGCAGCCAUGAGUUUCUGCGUCCAAUUUUAAUCGUUCGUCUUAUUUAAAAUUUUUUUGUAAUUAGUAUUUUUGUUGUUAUAAGAUGAUAAAACAUGAAUAGUACUUUACUCGUGACUAAUUUUUUUUUAAAUAAGACGAAUGAUUAAAGUUGGACGUGGAAAACUAUUGCUAUAGUUAUU